Molecule: non-coding RNA, 179 nt
Filed under: human gut metagenome
Source: RNAcentral
GUUGUGAGGCCGAAUCUGAAGGAAGCCGUAAGCAAAAGUCUGGCUCCACGCACAGAACCUUUAGCUCAUCGACUGAAGGGAGAUAAACUUGAUACAAGGCUCAAAGUCAGGGGUAAGGUUGCUAAACAAACUAAAGCCCGAUAGCUAUCCGGACUGAUGCGAGUAAAUCAAGGGAGUAU